UACGUAGGAGGCAAGCGUUGUCCGGAAUUACUGGGCGUAAAGCGCGUGUAGGUGGUGGGACAAGUCUGCUGUGAAAGCGCCUGGCUUAACCGGGCGAGGUCGGCGGAAACUGUUCGACUCGAGGACGGUAGAGGGGGGUGGAAUUCCCGGUGUAGUGGUGAAAUGCGUAGAGAUCGGGAGGAACACCUGUGGCGAAGGCGGCCCCAUGGGCCGGCCCUGACACUGAGACGCGAAGGCGUGGGGAGCGAACGGG
RNAcentral lists this ribosomal RNA (253 nucleotides) under uncultured bacterium. Its description in RNAcentral is "partial 16S ribosomal RNA". It matches the Rfam family "Bacterial small subunit ribosomal RNA", at positions 524 to 776 of the family's 1533-position model. The record is from RNAcentral.